GACGAACGCUGGCGGCGUGCUUAACACAUGCAAGUCGAACGCUGAAGCUCAGCUUGCUGGGUGGAUGAGUGGCGAACGGGUGAGUAACACGUGAGUAACCUGCCCUCUUCUUUGGGAUAACGCCCGGAAACGGGUGCUAAUACUGGAUAUUCACUGAUUCUCGCAUGGGGGUUGGUGGAAAGGUUUUUUCUGGUGGGGGAUGGGCUCGCGGCCUAUCAGCUUGUUGGUGGGGUGAUGGCCUACCAAGGCUUUGACGGGUAGCCGGCCUGAGAGGGUGACCGGUCACAUUGGGACUGAGAGACGGCCCAGACGCCUACGGGAGGCAGCAGUGGGGAAUAUUGCACAAUGGGCGAAAGCCUGAUGCAGCGACGCCGCGUGAGGGAUGGAGGCCUUCGGGUUGUAAACCUCUUUCGCUCAUGGUCAAGCCGCAGCUUUGGGUUGUGGUGAGGGUAGUGGGUAAAGAAGCGCCGGCUAACUACGUG
Molecule: ribosomal RNA, 482 nt
Filed under: uncultured bacterium
Lineage: Bacteria
Description: partial 16S ribosomal RNA
Rfam family: Bacterial small subunit ribosomal RNA
Source: RNAcentral